RNAcentral lists this long non-coding RNA (291 nucleotides) under Solanum tuberosum (potato). RNAcentral describes it as "long non-coding RNA (STUB_LNC002817)". The record is from RNAcentral. Lineage: Eukaryota; Viridiplantae; Streptophyta; Magnoliopsida; Solanales; Solanaceae.
GAGAAUCUUGAUUGAUAGCCACGCUGAAAAGAUCAUAAUGGAAUACAUGGGAUGUGUGAAAUAUCAUUGCUUAGAGAAUAUGUCCUGUGGAGUAUCUUGAUUGAUAGCCAGCUAAUGAAUUGCAUUUGUGGAGUAUUUCUUGUUUCUGAAGUUGGUAGACUUCUAUGGAAUGUUCAAACUUGUCUGAUUAACCUUGAAUUUGAUGUUGUUUUAUACUUAAAUUGUUGCUGAAAUGUAGCAACAAUUACACUACAUUAUUUCAAUGACACUCAAAAAAAAUCUUGGAGGGAG